UAACAAGGAUUCCCCUAGUAACUGCGAGUGAAGCGGGAAAAGCUCAAAUUUAAAAUCUGGCGGUUUUGGCCGUCCGAGUUGUAGUCUGGAGAAGUGCUUUCUGUGCUGGACCGUGUACAAGUCUCUUGGAACAGAGCGUCAUAGAGGGUGAGAAUCCCGUCUUUGACACGGACUACCAGUGCUUUGUGAUGCGCUCUCAAAGAGUCGAGUUGUUUGGGAAUGCAGCUCAAAAUGGGUGGUGAAUUCCAUCUAAAGCUAAAUAUUGGCGAGAGACCGAUAGCGAACAAGUACCGUGAGGGAAAGAUGAAAAGCACUUUGGAAAGAGAGUUAAACAGUACGUGAAAUUGCUAAAAGGGAAACGCUUGAAGUCAGUCGCGUUGUCCGAAACUCAGCCUUGCCUUGGCUUGGUGUAUUUUUCGGUUAACGGGUCAGCAUCGAUUUUGACCGAUGGAUAAAGGUCAGGGGAAUGUGGCACCUUCGGGUGUGUUAUAGCCUCUGAUUGUAUACAUCGGUUGGGAUCGAGGAACUCAGCUUCGGCUUAGGAUGCUGGCAUAAUGGCUUUAAACGAC
RNAcentral lists this ribosomal RNA (569 nucleotides) under Skeletocutis nivea. RNAcentral describes it as "eukaryotic LSU rRNA". It matches the Rfam family "Eukaryotic large subunit ribosomal RNA", at positions 66 to 648 of the family's 3401-position model. Lineage: Eukaryota; Fungi; Basidiomycota; Agaricomycetes; Polyporales; Incrustoporiaceae. The record is from RNAcentral.